RNAcentral lists this ribosomal RNA (575 nucleotides) under Rhizobium sp. PCSM50. RNAcentral's name for it is "bacterial SSU rRNA". It matches the Rfam family "Bacterial small subunit ribosomal RNA", at positions 151 to 760 of the family's 1533-position model. Lineage: Bacteria; Pseudomonadati; Pseudomonadota; Alphaproteobacteria; Hyphomicrobiales; Rhizobiaceae. The record is from RNAcentral.
GGGAAACUUGUGCUAAUACCGUAUGUGUCCUUCGGGAGAAAGAUUUAUCGGCAAGAGAUGAGCCCGCGUUGGAUUAGCUAGUUGGUGGGGUAAAGGCCUACCAAGGCGACGAUCCAUAGCUGGUCUGAGAGGAUGAUCAGCCACAUUGGGACUGAGACACGGCCCAAACUCCUACGGGAGGCAGCAGUGGGGAAUAUUGGACAAUGGGCGCAAGCCUGAUCCAGCCAUGCCGCGUGAGUGAUGAAGGCCCUAGGGUUGUAAAGCUCUUUCACCGGAGAAGAUAAUGACGGUAUCCGGAGAAGAAGCCCCGGCUAACUUCGUGCCAGCAGCCGCGGUAAUACGAAGGGGGCUAGCGUUGUUCGGAAUUACUGGGCGUAAAGCGCACGUAGGCGGAUCGAUCAGUCAGGGGUGAAAUCCCAGGGCUCAACCCUGGAACUGCCUUUGAUACUGUCGAUCUGGAGUAUGGAAGAGGUGAGUGGAAUUCCGAGUGUAGAGGUGAAAUUCGUAGAUAUUCGGAGGAACACCAGUGGCGAAGGCGGCUCACUGGUCCAUUACUGACGCUGAGGUGCGAAAGC